UCCGGAGGGGGCAAGCGUUAAUCGGAAUUACUGGGCGUAAAGCGCGCGUAGGCGGUUGGGUAAGUCAGAUGUGAAAGCCCCGGGCUUAACCUGGGAACUGCAUUUGAUACUGUCUGACUCGAGUAUGGUAGAGGGGGGUGGAAUUCCCGGAGUAGCGGUGAAAUGCGUAGAUAUCGGGAGGAACACCAGUGGCGAAGGCGGCCCCCUGGACCAAUACUGACGCUGAGGUGCGAAAGCGUGGGGAGGAAACAGG
RNAcentral lists this ribosomal RNA (253 nucleotides) under uncultured bacterium. RNAcentral describes it as "partial 16S ribosomal RNA". It matches the Rfam family "Bacterial small subunit ribosomal RNA", at positions 524 to 776 of the family's 1533-position model. The record is from RNAcentral.